Molecule: long non-coding RNA, 1052 nt
Filed under: Struthio camelus australis
Lineage: Eukaryota; Metazoa; Chordata; Aves; Struthioniformes; Struthionidae
Description: lncRNA (ENSSCUG00000006557.1)
Source: RNAcentral
UAAGGAAAGGGCAGGGGAUCAGGGAGAAAGCAGGAGGAGUCGAGUAGCACAUAGCAGAACUGAGCUUGGCCCAGUAGCAGAAAUGUGAACCUGAAGUCAUAUAAUUCUCCUAAGCACUCUGUCAGUGUUGUUUACGCUUGUGGGAGUUCAAGUACGUGAGUAGUAUCAAUUCUGUACAAAGGACUAGAAUACAUUUGCUAUAACAGUUAAAGUAGAAAGGGAAGUGUAGCUUGCCCAACAAGUGCUAAAAGUACUCUGACAGCGAUCAGCCUGGGAGAUGUGGAUGAUUUGGAUGAAAACUGAUCUGGCUAUUGGUUGGGACGUAUCUAUUGGGACACCAAUAAACCAGAAUGCUACAUAACAGUGAAUGCGGCCAAACACACAAGAGAGACAAUGCAAUUUUAAUAUCAGAAUACAACUUUAUUUUGUUUAACAGAUGUCUGCUAUAGUAUUUAUCCUACCACCUGCAAGAUUAGCCACCAACGUAAAAUCUGAGAAGACACAAAAGGAUGGUGCCACUUUACAGUUUCAUGAAAUCAGAAAUGAUACCUGAACUGCAGAGAUAGCAUAUCCUCUGAGGGGUGGAGUCAACUGAAAAAUGACAGAAAUGACAGCAGUCAGUGAAAGAAAUCUGGGACGUCUACACUUCAGGCAUUCAGUAAGAAAGAGGAAACAAACAGCACAGGAAAAUGUUUUCCUUUUACAUCAGUGAUCUUAGCCAGCCUUACUGGCGUUGAUGGAAAUCUGUGCUCCUACUACUCUGUGGUAAAUGUUUUUUUUUUUUUUCCUUGCUGUAUUCUGGGCAAUGCAUGUGUGCCCUUUAAUAGCUACUGUUCAUUUGUAAGGGGAAUUGCCACGGUAGGUAUUUCUUUAGAGCUUUUCCUCCUUUAGAUUUUUAUUUCCCUCUCCUGGUAGCACUAAGACUGUGAGCAGCAGCAGAAGUGUGAGGAUAGAUGCUGCCACGUUGUUUAGAUCGGCUGUGGACAGUAUGAACAGUAGGUUAGUUAGAAGACCAACUCUGCAUUCAUGUUGCGAUUUGUGUGGUUUUAAGU